ACGUCUACAUUAGAUACCCCUGUAGUCCUAGGCGUAAAUGAUGCGAGUUAAGUGUGGGGCAUCUACGAGAUGGCCCUGUGCUGUAGGGUAGCCGUUAAACUCGCUGCCUGGGAGUACGGUCGCAAGGCUGAAACUUAAAGGAAUUGGCGGGGAGCACCACAACGCGUGGAGCCUGCGGUUUAAUUGGAUUCAACACCGGACAUCUCACCAGGGCGACAGCAGAAUGAUGGCCAGGUUGAUGACCUUGCUUGACAAGCUG
RNAcentral lists this ribosomal RNA (259 nucleotides) under uncultured archaeon. RNAcentral describes it as "partial 16S ribosomal RNA". It matches the Rfam family "Archaeal small subunit ribosomal RNA", at positions 716 to 982 of the family's 1478-position model. The record is from RNAcentral.